ACCCGCCACGCUUAGCGCGUGGGGAGACAGUGUCAGGUGGGCAGUUUGACUGGGGCGGUCGCCUCCUAAAGAGUAACGGAGGCGCCCAAAGGUUCCCUCAGAAUGGAUGGAAAUCAUUCGCAGAGUGGAAAGGCACAAGGGAGCUUGACUGCGAGACUGACAAGUCGAGCAGGGACGAAAGUCGGGCUUAGUGAUCCGGUGGUUCCGCAUGGAAGGGCCAUCGCUCAACGGAUAAAAGCUACCCCGGGGAUAACA
This 255-nucleotide ribosomal RNA is filed under the name Listeria monocytogenes. Its description in RNAcentral is "partial 23S ribosomal RNA". It matches the Rfam family "Bacterial large subunit ribosomal RNA", at positions 2225 to 2479 of the family's 2925-position model. Lineage: Bacteria; Bacillati; Bacillota; Bacilli; Caryophanales; Listeriaceae. The record is from RNAcentral.